GAGUACGAAAGGUGAAAUUUGCAAAUUUCAGCUACGGUUAGUUCCCGGAAAUUAUGUGGCGUAGCCUUUGUUGAUGGACUUUGAGUUGCGCAGCAAGAAAGGAGCUUCUGCCACCAGAUGACAUCUAGAGGCUCUGAGAUUGCUUCCUCACUGUGCUACACGAACCUCAUUCCCAGCGCGAGCGUCCACUGCGGUGACGAAGCCUUGCUCUCCUGUGAGACACCUUAGGUACUACACAGAGGGCACCAAUGACUGCCAGACUCCUGUCGAGUGAUCCUCAGUUAUUUAAGCAGAAAUAUAUGUUGUGACUCGGCGAUUAUUCAAAGUGCCGCCGCGCAAUUACGCACGUCCUCUACGUGCGGCGCUGUCUGCCAGCCAGGCAGCAGCUGCGCCACCUAAGCGGCCAGCCGAGCGGCGGCCGCUAGACUGAGACUCAGUGUUCAAUUGAAUGCCGAUUUGUACACAGGUCCACCUACUCAGUGACUUAUAUGUGUUGUUGUGUUGUCCGAAAUAUAUGUGUUAAAUUUGAAGAUUUAACAAUAUACAAUAAUUUCAUUCUUAAUAUGACUAUGUCCGCAUUCAAAUUUACUGUUGCAUAUACAUCCCAAAAGUCACUAGCAAAACCUGAUUUAAACAGUCUGUGUUUUAAGAUUGAUCUUCGUAUUCAAUGCUUCUUUUGUUUCUACAGUUUCAUCCCCAGGAAUCUGAUAUAUUCUUGUUGGUGUAACUGGAUUUACUUUACAAAGAAUAUCAUUUAUAGAUAACCACAGAAUAUCUAGUUCUACAGGAUAUGUAUAAGACAGUGAUGGACCAGCUGGGUGAAGGAAACUAACUUUAUCUUUGAGAUCUUUGGCUUUUGUUAAAAUAUAAGCUUAACACCAUUUCUUGUAAUAGAUAACAGUAACAUACCCAUGAAUGUCUUUCAAAGACAGUCUUUCUGGAAAUUUUGUAGCUUUUUAACAGUAGGUGCUGAUGUGUCUGAAAUAGUCUUUACCAACGUUUUUUAUGUACUUGAUGCAGCUGCUAUAAAAGCAGGUAAUUUCUGUUUUCCUUUUAUGGAAACAGAUUGACUAAAGUGCUUUUCCAGAUAUCUCUCAGUUUCAGUGUACUCUUGUUGUGUCGAAAAUAGAACAUGUACAGGUGUAAUAUUAUUAAGUGCCCAAUCAAAACAUUGUUGCGGAGAAAGAAUUUGGCUGCCAUACAGCCUCUGCAGACUUGCUUUUGUUGCUGAUCUCUUAACAGUGCCACCAACACCAUCAUAAGGUCCUUUUCCGUGAGCAGAGGCAAAAAAUGC
Molecule: long non-coding RNA, 1294 nt
Organism: Schistocerca cancellata (South American locust)
Lineage: Eukaryota; Metazoa; Arthropoda; Insecta; Orthoptera; Acrididae
Exons: 3
Source: RefSeq, a predicted model, not a curated record